RNAcentral lists this ribosomal RNA (253 nucleotides) under uncultured bacterium. RNAcentral describes it as "partial 16S ribosomal RNA". It matches the Rfam family "Bacterial small subunit ribosomal RNA", at positions 524 to 776 of the family's 1533-position model. The record is from RNAcentral.
UACAGAGGGUGCGAGCGUUAAUCGGAAUUACUGGGCGUAAAGCGCACGUAGGCGGCUUUGCAAGUCGGGUGUGAAAUCCCCGGGCUCAACCUGGGAACUGCAUCCGAGACUGCAUUGCUAGAGUAUGGGAGAGGGAAGCGGAACUCCGAGUGUAGAGGUGAAAUUCGUAGAUAUUCGGAAGAACACCAGUGGCGAAGGCGACUCACUGGCCCGAUACUGACGCUGAGGCGCGAAAGCGUGGGGAGCAAACAGG